UGCAAAUAAAAUGUUAGUAUAACUCCCUAUGAGGUGAUUUGCCCAAACUGUCAUGAAAAGAAAAGAAAAAGAAAAACCAGCACAAAGCACAAAUCAUAAAACCUGUUCCUAUGGCCAAAUAAGCUAUGAACAGAGCUAGUAGCCACUUGAACAAGUGACUAACUGAGUAACCGGGGGUGGGUAUCACCAAUAUGCACCUUCGCGUAAAAAGGUUAGUGACUUUUUCAGGCAAGAAUAAAAAAAGUGCUGCUGAAUAAAAUAAAAUAAAAUGCUCAAAGAAGGGCAAGUCACUCUUAGAGGUUGCAUUGAGCUUAUACAAAGAGAAUAAGCAUGAAUGAAUAAAAAACCUUUCCUUUGACCAUGAUAGGUAAGGGGAAACAAGGAAAAGAGAAGAACAACCUUGGUGCAUGUAUUCUAUACUGUGAUACUUCAAUUUAGGAGUCUAGGGGGGGCUGAUUAAGUGGUACUUAGGCUCAAAAGAAAAAGGAGCUUGAUUGAAAGUUAUUUGUUGCUUGAGGACAAGCAAAAAGCUAGGUGUGGGGGUAUUUGAUCAAGCAUAAUUUAGCCACAUUUUUAUGAUCUUUAUUAUUGUUUAUUUACACAUUAUUUAGCUUAAUUUAUGAUUUUUACCUUGUUUUUACAGAAAUUGGAAAAAUGGAGAAAAAGUGCAGAAAAUGACAGAAAAGUGAUUGGGUCAGUGAUUUGCCCAAAUCACUCGAAGAAACUGGUCAAAUCACUCGCAGAGACAGAGACAGAAACUGGACUGAAUCCCAGAGAACGAUUUGCCCAGAUUGGGCAAGUGAUUUGCCCAAAUCACUCGCAGAAACUGCUCAAAUCACCUUGACAGCAGAAAUUGACAGCAGAGGCGGGAAAACAGCAGGGAACCAAAAUUCGAAUUUUCAGAAGUCCAAAUCCAACUCAAUCACUACCAACACAAUUCCAAGAGCCACGAAAGAGCUUCUCACCUAAGGAAUUCCAGUUGCAAUUAAACUCAACAUCAAAAGAGGAAUCACAAGCCAAAUUAAAAAGGGAUUUCAAAACCCUAGAAGGAUGGAAUUCUUCAGCUAUAAAAGAGCAACCUCCAAACCAGUAAGGGGCAUUUUCUGAUCAGCUACUCAGCAUCUUCUCCCCUCGCCAGAAACUCUGUAGCUUCUUUCUUUCCUUUCUUUUCAUCUUUUGUGUAUUUA
Molecule: long non-coding RNA, 1187 nt
Filed under: Manihot esculenta (cassava)
Lineage: Eukaryota; Viridiplantae; Streptophyta; Magnoliopsida; Malpighiales; Euphorbiaceae
Description: long non-coding RNA (MESC_LNC007173)
Source: RNAcentral